CCGUAGCCCAAGAGAUCGGGAUAACACCUGGAAACAGAUGCUAAUACCGGAUAACAACAGAUGAUGCCUAUCAACUGUUUAAAAGAUGGUUCUGCUAUCACUCUUGGAUGGACCUGCGGUGCAUUAGCUAGUUGGUAGGGUAACGGCCUACCAAGGCGAUGAUGCAUAGCCGAGUUGAGAGACUGAUCGGCCACAUUGGGACUGAGACAGGCCCAAACUCCUACGGGAGGCAGCAGG
This 237-nucleotide ribosomal RNA is filed under the name uncultured Lactobacillus sp. Its description in RNAcentral is "partial 16S ribosomal RNA". It matches the Rfam family "Bacterial small subunit ribosomal RNA", at positions 125 to 354 of the family's 1533-position model. Lineage: Bacteria; Bacillati; Bacillota; Bacilli; Lactobacillales; Lactobacillaceae. The record is from RNAcentral.